GUCCAGAUAGUCUAGUGCUUAGGACAUUGCGUUGUGGCCGCAAUAACCCAGAUUUGAAUCCUGCUCUGGACA
This 72-nucleotide transfer RNA is filed under the name Hofstenia miamia. RNAcentral describes it as "tRNA-His for anticodon GUG". It matches the Rfam family "tRNA". Rfam says of the family: Transfer RNA (tRNA) molecules are approximately 80 nucleotides in length. Their secondary structure includes four short double-helical elements and three loops (D, anti-codon, and T loops). Lineage: Eukaryota; Metazoa; Xenacoelomorpha; Acoela; Hofsteniidae. The record is from RNAcentral.